UCUGUGAGCUGAUUCCACCAGUGACUGAGCACAGACCACCACCAUGGAGCUGGGGCUGCGCUGGGUUCUCCUUGUUGCUCUGUUGAAAGGUGUGCAGUGUGAGGUGCAGCUGGUGGAGUCUGGGGGAGGCUUGGUGCAGCCUGGGGGGUCCCUGAGACUCUCCUGUGCUGCCUCCGGAUUCGACUUCAGUAGUAAUUACAUGAGCUGGAUCCGCCAGGCUCCAGGGAAGAGGCCUGAGUGGCUCUCAUACAUCAGUAGUAGUAGUAGUAGCAUAAACUACGCAGACUCUGUGAAGGGCCGCUUCACCACCUCCAGAGACAACAGCAAGAACACACUUUACCUGCAGAUGAACAGCCUGAGAGUGGAGGACACGGCCGUCUAUUACUUUGCCAGAGACACACAGUGCAGGAAAUCCAGUUGUCUACUGGGGUCAGGUGUUGCUCAGGCAGGGGCUUCUGCAGACCUGGGGAACGUGCUGGUGCCACGUCUCAGCCUGCAUGCAUCAGCCCUCUCCUGCUGCUGA
Molecule: non-coding RNA, 523 nt
Organism: Dipodomys ordii (Ord's kangaroo rat)
Lineage: Eukaryota; Metazoa; Chordata; Mammalia; Rodentia; Heteromyidae
Source: the annotation of a RefSeq genome assembly